GGAAUAUUGGACAAUGGGCGAAAGCCUGAUCCAGCCAUGCCGCGUGUGUGAAGAAGGUCUUCGGAUUGUAAAGCACUUUAAGUUGGGAGGAAGGGUUGUAGAUUAAUACUCUGCAAUUUUGACGUUACCGACAGAAUAAGCACCGGCUAACUCUGUGCCAGCAGCCGCGGUAAUACAGAGGGUGCAAGCGUUAAUCGGAAUUACUGGGCGUAAAGCGCGCGUAGGUGGUUUGUUAAGUUGAAUGUGAAAUCCCCGGGCUCAACCUGGGAACUGCAUCCAAAACUGGCAAGCUAGAGUAUGGUAGAGGGUGGUGGAAUUUCCUGUGUAGCGGUGAAAUGCGUAGAUAUAGGAAGGAACACCAGUGGCGAAGGCGACCACCUGGACUGAUACUGACACUGAGGUGCGAAAGCGUGGGGAGCAAACAGGAUUAGAUACCCCAG
This 440-nucleotide ribosomal RNA is filed under the name uncultured Pseudomonas sp. RNAcentral describes it as "bacterial SSU rRNA". It matches the Rfam family "Bacterial small subunit ribosomal RNA", at positions 358 to 790 of the family's 1533-position model. The record is from RNAcentral. Lineage: Bacteria; Pseudomonadati; Pseudomonadota; Gammaproteobacteria; Pseudomonadales; Pseudomonadaceae.